GCCCCGGUAGCUCAGCUGGAUAGAGCUACAGACUUCUAAUCUGCAGGUCGGAGGUUCGAAUCCUCUCCGGGGCG
RNAcentral lists this transfer RNA (74 nucleotides) under Propionibacteriaceae bacterium. Its description in RNAcentral is "tRNA-Arg". It matches the Rfam family "tRNA". From Rfam's summary of the family: Transfer RNA (tRNA) molecules are approximately 80 nucleotides in length. The record is from RNAcentral. Lineage: Bacteria; Bacillati; Actinomycetota; Actinomycetes; Propionibacteriales; Propionibacteriaceae.